GCUUCUGCCUUCACUGUGGCCAGGUUUACUAUUCUUCCUUUUUCUUGCUUUUGUUUUUGAUGCUUGGAGUGAAAUUGUGUGUGAGAGUUUUGUAGUUAAUGAAGAAUAGGAUACUGAAUUAUUGAUUGCUUUGUGUUUUUAAUUUGGUGUUGUUGCUUAAUUGUGGUCUGAGUUGAGACUUGUCCAAUCCGCAAAAUGAAGUUAACGAUUCUAUGAUCUUUCCUCGAUCGUUGAAAUAUAUAUAAUUUCCAGAAAAUAAAAAAAAUAAUAAUGCAUAAUGAAAGAUUUUCUUCUAUGAUGAUUUUAUUAAUUUUUUUGGCGAUAAUAAUAGAAAAUUAUGCUCUUUUUUUCCCUCAAUCUUUCUUCCAUACAUUCUAAGCUUGGAUUUGAUUUGAUUUGAUUUUU
Molecule: unclassified non-coding RNA, 405 nt
Filed under: Hevea brasiliensis (rubber tree)
Lineage: Eukaryota; Viridiplantae; Streptophyta; Magnoliopsida; Malpighiales; Euphorbiaceae
Source: RNAcentral